RNAcentral lists this ribosomal RNA (470 nucleotides) under Bacillus sp. (in: firmicutes). RNAcentral's name for it is "bacterial SSU rRNA". It matches the Rfam family "Bacterial small subunit ribosomal RNA", at positions 125 to 580 of the family's 1533-position model. Lineage: Bacteria; Bacillati; Bacillota; Bacilli; Caryophanales; Bacillaceae. The record is from RNAcentral.
CCUGCCUGUAAGACUGGGAUAACUCCGGGAAACCGGGGCUAAUACCGGAUGGUUGUUUGAACCGCAUGGUUCAGACAUAAAAGGUGGCUUCGGCUACCACUUACAGAUGGACCCGCGGCGCAUUAGCUAGUUGGUGAGGUAACGGCUCACCAAGGCGACGAUGCGUAGCCGACCUGAGAGGGUGAUCGGCCACACUGGGACUGAGACACGGCCCAGACUCCUACGGGAGGCAGCAGUAGGGAAUCUUCCGCAAUGGACGAAAGUCUGACGGAGCAACGCCGCGUGAGUGAUGAAGGUUUUCGGAUCGUAAAGCUCUGUUGUUAGGGAAGAACAAGUGCCGUUCAAAUAGGGCGGCACCUUGACGGUACCUAACCAGAAAGCCACGGCUAACUACGUGCCAGCAGCCGCGGUAAUACGUAGGUGGCAAGCGUUGUCCGGAAUUAUUGGGCGUAAAGGGCUCGCAGGCGGUU